AACAACAUGAGGACUCCCAACAAUAUGGGCCCCCCGCCCCCCAACACGGGUCCAAUGCCUCCCCACAACAUGGGUCCAAACUACAGUAAUGUGCAGCAGCCAAACAACUGGAGUGGUGGCCAGCCCAACAACAAUAGCAAUCAGAUGCCUCAUAAUUAUAAUCAGAUGCCGCCGCCACCGCCUAACUACAAUCAGAUGCCCCCCAACAACAUGGGAGGUGUGCCACCAAACAACAUGAGAGGGAUGCCACCAAACAACAUGGGAGGAGUGCCCCCACCACCAAAUAACAUGGGAGGUCCACCGCCUAAUGCAGGAUGGGGGAGUCCUGGGCAAUACCAAG
RNAcentral lists this long non-coding RNA (340 nucleotides) under Prunus persica (peach). RNAcentral's name for it is "long non-coding RNA (PPER_LNC004131)". The record is from RNAcentral. Lineage: Eukaryota; Viridiplantae; Streptophyta; Magnoliopsida; Rosales; Rosaceae.